Molecule: unclassified non-coding RNA, 207 nt
Filed under: Hevea brasiliensis (rubber tree)
Lineage: Eukaryota; Viridiplantae; Streptophyta; Magnoliopsida; Malpighiales; Euphorbiaceae
Source: RNAcentral
GGAGCGUCUUAAUCAUAAAGCAAUCAUCUUGAGACAGGAAAAAGAUGCUACCACUUCUUCCAGGAGAGAAAAGUUCCCUAAGAGAACCAUUUCCACAAAUGGACGUCACAUAGUCAAUGGCAUCUAUCUUGAACUUCUCUUUCAAAUUCCUUUCCAUUCAAGCAGCUAGGCAGAGUGAGAUAGGAGAAAGAGAGAUCUGUCCACGAG